GUAGUCUAUGGUGCCAAAAGAACUAUAAAUUUGCAAAGGGCUAAUUUUCAGUCCUUUUUUGUCUGACAUGGCAAUGAAGGAGUGUCGUGUUUAUUUGUCGUCUGGAAAUUCCAACUAUUGAAGGAACCUUAAUCUCUCAAUUGAAGUCUCUUCAACUCUACAAUGUUUUGAAGGGGUGCCUAACUGAAAUAUUCCUUUACAACUCCAUUGAAGACAAAGCAUUGGAUUGCUUUGACGGGAUUUGAUGGCUUUAUUUAAAGGAUUGUUCCUGUCUGGACUUGAAUGGGGGUAUAUAGACUUAUGCAUCCUGCAGGUGACUCUCUAAACUCCAGGUCAGACCAAGUGCGAGGACUACUUGCCAACUACGGAAUGUUUCAACUAUUCAAGGUGACGGAAUAAUGUAGAUGAGACUGGAGAUGCUUAGGCUGUUUUCAUGGCUUAUUUGGAGUCGAUGCAAGGGAAACCUGACUACGAAAUAUUACUUUACAACGCCAUUGAAGGAAUAAUGGAGAUGCUUGGGCUGGAUUGAUGGAGUCGCUACAAGACAAAGCAUUGAGUUACUUCGACAGGAUUCGAUGGCUUUAUUUAAAGGACAACUUGCUGGCUAUGAUUUCAAGACAAGGGGGUGGCAGGUAGCCUAGUGGUUAAAGUGUUGGACUUGUAACCGUAAGGUUGCCAGAUCGAAUCCCUGAGCUGACAAGGUUUGUUCCUGUCUGGACUUGAAUGGGGUAUAGACUGCUGCAUCCUGCAGGUGAUUGACAACGCCAGACCACUUGGCUUGACCAUCACUGGCAGGGUUCAGUGACGUGUGGUUCAAUGGGCAAUCCCUGUGGUUAUAUCUUUGGGGUGAUGAAAUAUUUUAUGACUGGGUUGAAUGAUGUUUUAUAAAAUCAUGCCUAAUUCUUGAGCGAAUCAGACAGGCUGAGAUUAUUUGGUAUUUUGGUCGGGUGCAGUUGAAUAUAAAUCCCCAGUCAGAGGGUUUAUUAGUAAUUGCGGGUGAACAAAAGCUGACCUGCACUACUUCAUAUGACCCCAACUGUUCUAUCCUGGCGAGUGGAGUAUUGCAUAAUCCUGACAUGUCAGUGUUUCUGAACAAAUGUACCACAAUGAAAUGUUUGUAUUACCUCAAUUGUGGGCCCAACUGCAUUACAUUUAUUUUCAAAUGGUGUAAAAUAAAAUUAUCCUUAUGAGUCAUGUCAAAUCCAUAACUGAUUGUUUGUCUUUUUAAUAAACAAAGUUAAUGGCACAACA
Long non-coding RNA from Oncorhynchus kisutch (coho salmon), 1251 nucleotides. RefSeq lists it as uncharacterized. Lineage: Eukaryota; Metazoa; Chordata; Actinopteri; Salmoniformes; Salmonidae. The record is from RefSeq and is a predicted model, not a curated record. The transcript is spliced from 14 exons.